RNAcentral lists this long non-coding RNA (1658 nucleotides) under Homo sapiens (human). RNAcentral describes it as "non-protein coding lnc-OCM-3:10". Lineage: Eukaryota; Metazoa; Chordata; Mammalia; Primates; Hominidae. The record is from RNAcentral.
CGUAGGAGAGCAGACACGAGGACAUGAGCCAGUUCUGCUGAGCUGUUACUGUAUACCUGCUUUCCCACAACAGCAAGGAAGAACCAUGGCCCAGGGGUCACUGUCAUUCGGGGACGUGGCUGUGGGCUUCACCCGGAAAGAGUGGCAGCAGCUGGACCUGGAGCAGAGGACCCUGUACCAGGAUGUGAUGCUGGAGAACUACAGCCACCUGCUCUCUGUGGGCUGAACUGUCUGCUUGCUUGGAAGGCCCAGCUGGCUCAGCACAAAUCCUUUAACCGUUUCUCCCCAAGAGGGUGUCAAGUCAGCAAACCAGCUGUGAUCUCCAGUUUGGAGCAGGGGAAGGAGCCAUGGAUGGAGGAGGAAGAGAUAAGGACGUGGAGCUUCCCAGAAGAAGUUUGGCAAGUUGCUACCCAGCCAGAUAGCCAACAGCAACACGAAGACCAACAUUUGAGCCAUACGUUUCUAGACAAGAAAGACUGGACCGGAAAUGAGCUUCAUGAAUGUAACGAACUUGGAAAAAAACUCCAUCAGAACCCAAACCUCCUUCCAUCAAAACAGCAGGUCCGCACACGUGACUUGUGCAGAAAGAGUUUGAUGUGUAACCUGGACUUCACUCCUAACGCCUACCUGGCGAGGAGGAGAUUUCAGUGCGACGGCCACGGAAACUUCUUCUCUGUUCGAAACUUGAAACUCCACCUUCAGGAGCGAAUCCACGCGGAGGUCACCAGUGUGGAAGUGCUUUAAGCUGUGACGAGGGAGUUCCUGCAGCUCAGGGAGCCAGUAGUGAGAAACCCCACGAAUGCACGAAGUGUGGGAAAGCCUUGUGCUGCAGAUCGGACCUCAGGGUACAUCACGGGGUCCACGCGGGGGAGAAGUCCUCUGCGUGCAGUGAACGGGGGAGUGGUUUCAGGGAGAAGCUUUGCCCUGACAAACAGGGAACUCACACAAAGGAGAAACCCGCUAGAGACAGCAGAAGUGGUAAAACGAUCUUCCGGAAGACACGCCUGUGUGUCCCGGGCACAGUUCACGCCGGAGCGAAGCCUUACAAGUGUUGGGAGUGUGAGAAAACCUCCCACAAGUCGCGCCUCAUCGAGCACCUUCGCUCCCACACGGGGGAGAAGCCCUGCGGCUGCAGGGAAUGCGGAAAGGCCUUUUUCCAGAAGUCACACCUCAUCCUGCGUCAGAGGACUCACACGGGGGAGAAGCCCUGCGACUGCGCGGAGUGCGGGAAAGCUGCUCCCAGGACUCCUGCCUCCUGACCCACAGGCGGACUCGCGGGGAAGAAACCGUACGAGUGCUCCGACUGCGGGAAGACCUCCCGGAAGGCGAACCUCAUCCGCCACCACGGGAUCCACACGAGGGAGAAGCUGCAUGGGUGAAGAGACCGUGGGAUCGUCACAAAGUCACAUCACGAGGUCGCCGAACCUCUAGGAGGGACAUCGCCAGGGAAACAGCCCUCAACCAAAACUACGACGCCACCCUAGGCAGAGGUCCCAUAUCGGGGUGAAAUUCGGCCACUUUGGUGGCUUAAGGAAGGCAUGGUCAGCUGGGCGCUGUGGCUCACGCCUGUAAUCCCAGCGCUUUGGGACGCCGAGGCGAGUGGAUCACCUGAGGUCAGGAGUUCAAGACCAGUCUGGCCAACAUGGUGAAAGCUCGGC